AGUGAACGCUGGCGGUAGGCCUAACACAUGCAAGUCGAACGGCAGCACAGUAAGAGCUUGCUCUUACGGGUGGCGAGUGGCGGACGGGUGAGGAAUACAUCCGAAUCUACUUUUUCGUGGGGGAUAACGUAGGGAAACUUACGCCAAUACCGCAUACGACCCACGGGUGAAAGCAGGGGAUCUUCGGACCUUGCGCGAUUGAAUGAGCCGAUGUCGGAUUAGCUAGUUGGCGGGGUAAAGGCCCACCAAGGCGACGAUCCGUAGCUGGUCUGAGAGGAUGAUAAGCCACACUGGAACUGAGACACGGUCCAGACUCCUACGGGAGGCAGCAGUGGGGAAUAUUGGACAAUGGGCGCAAGCCUGAUCCAGCCAUACCGCGUGGGUGAAGAAGGCCUUCGGGUUGUAAAGCCCUUUUGUUGGGAAAGAAAAGCAGCAGGUUAAUACCCCGCUGUUCUGACGGUACCCAAAGAAUAAGCACCGGCUAACUUCGUG
Molecule: ribosomal RNA, 492 nt
Filed under: uncultured bacterium
Lineage: Bacteria
Description: partial 16S ribosomal RNA
Rfam family: Bacterial small subunit ribosomal RNA
Source: RNAcentral